Molecule: ribosomal RNA, 817 nt
Filed under: uncultured Chroococcidiopsis sp.
Lineage: Bacteria; Bacillati; Cyanobacteriota; Cyanophyceae; Chroococcidiopsidales; Chroococcidiopsidaceae
Description: bacterial SSU rRNA
Rfam family: Bacterial small subunit ribosomal RNA
Source: RNAcentral
AGAGUUUGAUCCUGGCUCAGGAUGAACGCUGGCGGUAUGCUUAACACAUGCAAGUCGAACGGGACUCUUCGGAGUUCAGUGGCGGACGGGUGAGUAACGCGUGAGAAUCUGGCUUCAGGUUCGGGACAACCACGGGAAACGGUGGCUAAUACCGGAUGUGCCUAAAGGUGAAAGAUUAAUUGCCUGAAGAUGAGCUCGCGUCUGAUUAGCUAGUUGGUGGGGUAAGAGCCUACCAAGGCGACGAUCAGUAACUGGUCUGAGAGGAUGACCAGUCACACUGGGACUGAGACACGGCCCAGACUCCUACGGGAGGCAGCAGUGGGGAAUUUUCCGCAAUGGGCGAAAGCCUGACGGAGCAAUACCGCGUGAGGGAGGAAGGCUCUAGGGUUGUAAACCUCUUUUCUCAGGGAAGAACAAAAUGACGGUACCUGAGGAAUCAGCAUCGGCUAACUCCGUGCCAGCAGCCGCGGUAAUACGGAGGAUGCAGGCGUUAUCCGGAAUUAUUGGGCGUAAAGCGUCCGCAGGUGGCAAUUCAAGUCUGCUGUUAAAGGUCGGGGCUCGACCCCGAACAGGCAGUGGAAACUGAACAGCUAGAGUGCGGUAGGGGCAGAGGGAAUUCCCAGUGUAGCGGUGAAAUGCGUAGAGAUUGGGAAGAACACCGGUGGCGAAAGCGCUCUGCUAGGCCGUAACUGACACUCAUGGACGAAAGCUAGGGGAGCGAAUGGGAUUAGAUACCCCAGUAGUCCUAGCCGUAAACGAUGGAUACUAGGCGUUGUGAGUAUCGACCCUCACAGUGUCGUAGCUAACGCGUUAAGUA